AUUGAACGCUGGCGGCAUGCUUUACACAUGCAAGUCGAACGGCAGCACGGGUGCUUGCACCUGGUGGCGAGUGGCGGACGGGUGAGUAAUACAUCGGAACGUAUCCAGAAGAGGGGGAUAACGCAUCGAAAGAUGUGCUAAUACCGCAUAUUCUCUGAGGAGGAAAGCAGGGGAUCGAAAGACCUUGCGCUUUGGGAGCGGCCGAUGUCUGAUUAGCUAGUUGGUGGGGUAAAGGCCUACCAAGGCGACGAUCAGUAGUUGGUCUGAGAGGACGACCAGCCACACUGGGACUGAGACACGGCCCAGACUCCUACGGGAGGCAGCAGUGGGGAAUUUUGGACAAUGGGCGCAAGCCUGAUCCAGCAAUGCCGCGUGAGUGAAGAAGGCCUCGGUUGUAAG
RNAcentral lists this ribosomal RNA (399 nucleotides) under uncultured bacterium. RNAcentral describes it as "bacterial SSU rRNA". It matches the Rfam family "Bacterial small subunit ribosomal RNA", at positions 30 to 429 of the family's 1533-position model. The record is from RNAcentral.